UCUUGAGUAUGGUUGAGGCAGGCGGAAUGUGUGGUGUAGCGGUGAAAUGCUUAGAUAUCACACAGAACACCGAUUGCGAAGGCAGCUUGCUAAGCCAUAACUGACGCUGAGGCACGAAAGCGUGGGUAUCAAACAGGAUUAGAUACCCUGGUAGUCCACGCCGUAAACGAUGUUCACUCGCUGUUUGCGAUACACAGCAAGCGGCUAAGCGAAAGCGUUAAGUAAUCCACCUGGGGAGUACGCCGGCAACGGUGAAACUCAAAGGAAUUGACGGGGGCCCGCACAAGCGGAGGAACAUGUGGUUUAAUUCGAUGAUACGCGAGGAACCUUACCCGGGAUUGAAA
This 344-nucleotide ribosomal RNA is filed under the name uncultured Bacteroidales bacterium. Its description in RNAcentral is "bacterial SSU rRNA". It matches the Rfam family "Bacterial small subunit ribosomal RNA", at positions 640 to 986 of the family's 1533-position model. Lineage: Bacteria; Pseudomonadati; Bacteroidota; Bacteroidia; Bacteroidales. The record is from RNAcentral.